AUAUUCUGUGAGCAGGAAAGAGGGGGAUCGCAAGACCUCUUGCUUUAGGAGCGGCCGAUGUCGGAUUAGCUAGUUGGUGAGGUAAAGGCUCACCAAGGCGACGAUCCGUAGCGGGUCUGAGAGGAUGAUCCGCCACACUGGGACUGAGACACGGCCCAGACUCCUACGGGAGGCAGCAGUGGGGAAUUUUGGACAAUGGGCGCAAGCCUGAUCCAGCCAUGCCGCGUGAGUGAAGAAGGCCUUCGGGUUGUAAAGCUCUUUCGGUGGGGAAGAAAUUGCUUCGGUUAAUACCUGGAGUAGAUGACGGUACCCGCAUAAGAAGCACCGGCUAACUACGUG
Molecule: ribosomal RNA, 339 nt
Filed under: uncultured bacterium
Lineage: Bacteria
Description: bacterial SSU rRNA
Rfam family: Bacterial small subunit ribosomal RNA
Source: RNAcentral